GUAGGUGAACCUGCGGAAGGAUCAUUACCGAGUAAGGGUCCUCUGGGCUCGACCUCCUACCCUUUGUCUACCUUACCAUUUGUUGCUUCGGCGGAUCCGUCCCCUCGGGGAUCGCCGAGGGGUCUAGGCCCCUUGGCCCGCGUCCGCCGGUGGCCCACAACCAAAACUCUUGUUUAAGCGUGUCGUCUAAGUACAAAACAAAUAAUUAAAAACUUUCAACAACGGAUCUCUUGGUUCUGGCAUCGAUGAA
RNAcentral lists this unclassified non-coding RNA (250 nucleotides) under plant metagenome. RNAcentral's name for it is "partial contains small subunit ribosomal RNA, internal transcribed spacer 1, and 5.8S ribosomal RNA". The record is from RNAcentral.